RNAcentral lists this long non-coding RNA (819 nucleotides) under Salmo salar (Atlantic salmon). RNAcentral describes it as "lncRNA (ENSSSAG00000114284.1)". Lineage: Eukaryota; Metazoa; Chordata; Actinopteri; Salmoniformes; Salmonidae. The record is from RNAcentral.
CUGGGAGAGAAGGUGACAGAGAGACGGGGAGAGAAGGUGACAGACAGGGUGAGAAGGUGACAGAGAGACUGGGAGAGAAGGUGACAGAGAGAUGGGGAGAGAAGGUGACAGAGAGACAGGGAGAGAAGGUGACAGAGAGACGGGGAGAGAAGGUGACAGAGAGACGGGGAGAGAAGUUGACAGAGAGAUGGGGAGAGAAGGUGACAGACAGGGAGAGAAGGUGACAGAGAGACUGGGAGAGAAGGUGACAGAGAGACUGGGAGAGAAGGUGACAGAGAGACGGGGAGAGAAGGUGACAGAGAGACGGGGAGAGAAGGUGACAGAGAGACAGGGAGAGAAGGUGACAGACAGGGAGAGAAGGUGACAGAGAGACUGGGAGAGAAGGUGACAGACAUGGAGAGAAGGUGACAGAGAGACUGGGAGAGAAGGUGACAGAGAGACGGGGAGAGAAGGUGACAGACAGGGUGAGAAGGUGACAGAGAGACUGGGAGAGAAGGUGACAGAGAGACGGGGAGAGAAGGUGACAGAGAGACAGGGAGAGAAGGUGACAGAGAGACAGGGAGAGAAGGUGACAGAGAGACAGGGAGAGAAGGUGACAGAGAGAUGGGGAGAGAAGGUGACAGACAGGGAGAGAAGGUGACAGAGAGACAUCCUGAGAGUUUACAGUCAAUAUGGUAGGAUAUUUAUGAGUUAAAUGAACCAUGUGUGACAGAGAGAGAGGGAGAGAAGGUGAGGAAGUUAAAGCGAGGGAAGAGAAAAGAAGAACUUCCAAAGAGGAGAGUUCAAGACUAAAGAAACACAAAUAUAUAUUAUAUUCAG